GACGAACGCUGGCGGCGUGCUUAACACAUGCAAGUCGAACGGAAAGGCCUCUUUCGGGGGGUACUCGAGUGGCGAACGGGUGAGUAACACGUGAGUAACCUGCCCUUGACUUUGGGAUAACUUCAGGAAACUGGGGCUAAUACCGGAUAGGAGCUCCUGCUGCAUGGUGGGGGUUGGAAAGUUUCGGCGGUUGGGGAUGGACUCGCGGCUUAUCAGCUUGUUGGUGGGGUAGUGGCUUACAAAGGCUUUGACGGGUAGCCGGCCUGAGAGGGUGACCGGCCACAUUGGGACUGAGAUACGGCCCAGACUCCUACGGGAGGCAGCAGUGGGGAAUAUUGCACAAUGGGCGGAAGCCUGAUGCAGCAACGCCGCGUGCGGGAUGACGGCCUUCGGGUUGUAAACCGCUUUCGCCUGUGACGAAGCGUGAGUGACGGUAAUGGGUAAAGAAGCACCGGCUAACUACGUG
This 466-nucleotide ribosomal RNA is filed under the name uncultured bacterium. RNAcentral's name for it is "partial 16S ribosomal RNA". It matches the Rfam family "Bacterial small subunit ribosomal RNA", at positions 28 to 507 of the family's 1533-position model. The record is from RNAcentral.